RNAcentral lists this ribosomal RNA (465 nucleotides) under Vreelandella stevensii. RNAcentral's name for it is "partial 16S ribosomal RNA". It matches the Rfam family "Bacterial small subunit ribosomal RNA", at positions 338 to 795 of the family's 1533-position model. Lineage: Bacteria; Pseudomonadati; Pseudomonadota; Gammaproteobacteria; Oceanospirillales; Halomonadaceae. The record is from RNAcentral.
CCUACGGGUGGCAGCAGUGGGGAAUAUUGGACAAUGGGCGAAAGCCUGAUCCAGCCAUGCCGCAUGUGUGAAGAAGGCCUUCGGGUUGUAAAGCACUUUCAGUGGGGAAGAAAGCCUUGGGGCUAAUACCCUCGAGGAAGGACAUCACCCACAGAAGAAGCACCGGCUAACUCCGUGCCAGCAGCCGCGGUAAUACGGAGGGUGCGAGCGUUAAUCGGAAUUACUGGGCGUAAAGCGCGCGUAGGCGGUCUGAUAAGCCGGUUGUGAAAGCCCCGGGCUCAACCUGGGAACGGCAUCCGGAACUGUCAGGCUAGAGUGCAGGAGAGGAAGGUAGAAUUCCCGGUGUAGCAGUGAAAUGCGUAGAGAUCGGGAGGAAUACCAGUGGCGAAGGCGGCCUUCUGGACUGACACUGACGCUGAGGUGCGAAAGCGUGGGUAGCAAACAGGAUUAGAUACCCUGGUAGUC